UCCCUGGUGAUCCAGUGGUUAAGAUACUAAGCUUCCAAUUCAGGAGACACGGGUUCAAUCCUCGGUCAGAGAA
Molecule: transfer RNA, 73 nt
Filed under: Bos taurus (domestic cattle)
Lineage: Eukaryota; Metazoa; Chordata; Mammalia; Artiodactyla; Bovidae
Rfam family: tRNA
About the family: Transfer RNA (tRNA) molecules are approximately 80 nucleotides in length.
Source: Rfam by way of RNAcentral